This 253-nucleotide ribosomal RNA is filed under the name uncultured bacterium. Its description in RNAcentral is "partial 16S ribosomal RNA". It matches the Rfam family "Bacterial small subunit ribosomal RNA", at positions 524 to 776 of the family's 1533-position model. The record is from RNAcentral.
UACGGAGGGUGCAAACGUUGCUCGGAAUCAUUGGGCGUAAAGCGCACGUAGGCGGUCCGCUAAGUCGGGAGUGAAAGCCCUCGGCUCAACCGAGGAAGUGCUUUCGAAACUGACGGACUUGAAUACUGGAGAGGAUCGCGGAAUUCCCGGUGUAGAGGUGAAAUUCGUAGAUAUCGGGAGGAACACCAGUGGCGAAGGCGGCGAUCUGGACAGAUAUUGACGCUGAGGUGCGAAAGCGUGGGGAGCAAACAGG